RNAcentral lists this ribosomal RNA (915 nucleotides) under Triticum aestivum (bread wheat). RNAcentral describes it as "partial small subunit ribosomal RNA". Lineage: Eukaryota; Viridiplantae; Streptophyta; Magnoliopsida; Poales; Poaceae. The record is from RNAcentral.
AUGCAGGUCAAACGGCUUCCUCUGGAGCUCUCCAGCACCGGCCUCGGCUUCGACCCGGCGACCGGCCAGCACAAGGUGGUCAGGCUCUUCAGGAACAUCUUCGGGCAGCAGAAGUGCGAGGUGUGCUCGCUUACGGCGUCCGGCGAGUGGCGCUGGCGGCGCUGCGCCGGCGGUGACGCGCCGCCAAGGUUCGCGUGCUACGUCGACGGCAGGCCUCCCGUGGCCCUCGACGGAUCCCUCUACUGGCUGCUGCACCGGCGAACCUGCGCCGACGACGGCAGCGCCAGCUGGGACCCGCAGCAGGACGCGCCCAUCCUGUCGCUCUCCGUCGGCGCCGAGCGGUUCGGGUGGGUGCGCACGCCGCCGCGGCUGGCGUCACGCAUCCGGCACCUCACCAACCUCGACGGCGCCCUCUGCGCCGUCGUGCACGACCGCCUCGUCGACGACGUGCUCCUGCUCGUCACGUGGAGUCCGUCGUCGCCAUCGUGGUCUGCGCGCUGCCGCGUCGACGUGGGCAGCCUGCCCCGGCCGAUCCGCGACGAGCUCAGCGGGGAGCGGGAGAUCGUCCCGCUGUGCAGCGUGAAGAAGAAGGUCCUGCUGGCGACGAGCCGGCACAAGGUGUACGCCUACGACACGGAGCAAGGCGGCGCCGAGGAGGUGUUCGACAUGAACCGCUUUGUCGACGUGCCGCCCCACAACAGCGAGUCACGGCUGUUCGUCAACGUUGGACUCCACGAGGAACGCAUCGGCCCGAAGUUGGCGGGUGACCACUGGCUACAGGUGAAGCGGGGACGAGACAUGGUGCUCGGCAAGCGGGAGGCGUCGUCGUCGGUGUACCAUCUAGAACAUCGGGAGGAGGACGAGGAAUUUCACAGGACGAGAGAAGUGAUCAUGGACCUUGCAUUUCCAGCGUAG